Molecule: ribosomal RNA, 384 nt
Filed under: uncultured Bacillus sp.
Lineage: Bacteria; Bacillati; Bacillota; Bacilli; Caryophanales; Bacillaceae
Description: bacterial SSU rRNA
Rfam family: Bacterial small subunit ribosomal RNA
Source: RNAcentral
UAAAAGCUUGCUUUUAAAAGUCAGCGGCGGACGGGUGAGUAACACGUGGGCAACCUGCCUGUAAGACUGGGAUAACUUCGGGAAACCGGAGCUAAUACCGGAUACGUUCUUCUCUCGCAUGAGAGAAGAUGGAAAGAUGGUUUCGGCUAUCACUUACAGAUGGGCCCGCGGCGCAUUAGCUAGUUGGUGGGGUAAUGGCCCACCAAGGCGACGAUGCGUAGCCGACCUGAGAGGGUGAUCGGCCACACUGGGAUUGAGACACGGCCCAGACUCCUACGGGAGGCAGCAGUAGGGAAUCUUCCGCAAUGGACGAAAAUCUGACGGAGCAACGCCGCGUGAACGAUGAAGGCUUUCGGGUCGUAAAGUUCUGUUGUUAGGGAAGAA